UUAAAAGACAAAUUAAUUUUUUUUUGAGAGGGAGUUUUGCUCUUGUUGCCCAGGCUGGAGUGCAGUGGCACGAUCUCAGCUCACUGCAACCUUUGUCUCUCGGGUUCAAGCAAUUCUCCUGCCUCAGCCUCCCGAGUAGCUGGGAUUACAGGUGCCCACGACCACGCCCAGCUGAUUUUUUGUAUUUUUAGUAGAGACGGUGUUUCCCUAUGUUGGCCAGGCUGGUCUCAAACUCCUGACCUCAGGCGAUCUACACACCUCGGCCUCCCAAAGUGCUGGGAUUACAGGUGUGAGCCAUUGUGCCCAGCCAACAAAACUACUAAAAAUAACUAUAGCUACAACCAUUUGUUAGUAGAUACACAAUAUAAAAAGAUGUAAAUUGUAAUAUCAUAAACAUAAAAUAGAGGAGGAGUAAAGAUGUGGUUUUUAUAUGCAAAGUUAAGUUGUUAUAAGCUUAAAAUAGACUAUUAUAACUAUGUUAUACGUGAGCCUCAUUGUAACUACAACACAAAAACCUAUGGUAGAUACAUGAAAAAUGAAGAGAAAUGAACCAAAGCAUAUCACCUAGAGAAAAUGAUCAAAUCACAAAGGAAAACAGCAAGGGAGGAGGAAAGGACAAAGGGAUCUAUAAAACAGUCAGAAAAACAAUUAACAUAAUGACCAUAGUAAGUCCUUACCCAUCAAUAAUUACCUUGAAUAUAAAUGAAUUAAAUUAUCUAGUCAAAAGACAGACAGUAGCUAAGUGGAUUAGAAAAAAACCCAAACAAGUCCCAACCAUACGCUACCUAUAAGAGACAUACUUCAGUUUUAAGGAUACACAUAGGCUGAAAGUGAAGGAAUAGAAUAAAAUGUUCUAUGCAAAUAGAAACCACGAAUAUGUGGAAAUUAAACAACAUACUCCUGAACAACCAAUGGGUCAACCAAUGGGAAGAAAUCAAAAGGGAAAUUUAGAAUUAUCUUAAGACUUGAAAAAAUGGAAACACAGCAUAUGAAAACUUAUGGAAUGCAGCAAAAGCAGUUCUAAGAGGGAUCAUUAUAGUGCUAAAUGCCUAUGCUAAAAAAGAUUAUAAACAAGCUAGCAUUACACCUCCAGAAACUAGGAAAAGAACAAAUUAAACCCAAUGUUAGUAGAAGUAAGGACAUAGCAAACAUCAGAGCAGAAAUAAAUGAAAUAGAACUAUAAAAAUGAUAGAAAGAUCAACAAAACUAAGAGUUGGUUUUUGAAAAGAUAAAUAAAAUUGACAAUCCUUUAGCUAGACUAAGAAAAAAGGAGAAAUGACUCAAAAUCAGAAAUGAAAGAGGAGACAUUAUAACUGAUACCACAGACAUACAAAGGAUCAUGAGAGAAUACUACAAGAAAAUGUACAGCAAAAAAAUGUAAAUAACCCAGAAAAAAAUGAAUAAAUUCCUGGAAACAUAUAACUUAACAAGACUGAGUCAUGUAGAAUAGAAAAUUUGGCCGGGCAUGGUGGCUCACACUUGUAAUCUCCACUUUGGGAGGCAAAGGCGGGUGGAUUGCUUGAGUCCAGGAGUUGGAGACCAGUCUGGGCAACAUGGUGAAACCCCGUCUCUACAAAAAAUACAAAAAAUUAGCCGGGCAUGUGUGGGCGGCAAGCCACCCAGGUGCUGAGGCAAGAGACCAAGGGCACGACCUGUUCCAGUAUAAUAAAGAAAAUAUAUAAAAUAAGAAUAGUUAUACUAGAUAUAGAUCAUAGAUAUGAUUAUAUAUGAAUAUCAUUAAUCACAGUUUGUAGCAAUUACUUUUUAUUCCAAUAUUAUAAUAAUCCUUGCUCUACAAUCAUAACCUAGGAAAAACCAGGCCAUACAGAGAUAGGAGCCGAGGGGACACAGUGAGAAGUGACCAGAAGACAAGUGCGAGCCUCCUGUUAUGCCCGGACAGGGCCACCAGAGGGCUCCUGGGUCUAGCGGUGAAGCCAGCGCCUGGGAAGACGCCCGUUGCCAAGCGGACCAUGGUCUAGCGGUAGCGUCAGUGCUUAGAAAAGGCACCGGUUACUUAGCAGACCGGGAAAGGGAAUCUCCCUUUCUCCGGGGGAGGUAGAGAAGACUCUGCUCCACCACCUCUUGUGGAGGUCCUGACAUCAGUCAAGCCCGCCCGCAGUCAUCCGGAGGCCUGACCGUCUCCCUGUGAUGCUGUGCUUCUGCGGUCACGCUCCUGGUCCACUUUCAUGUUCCACCCUGUACACCUGGAUCUGCCUUCUAGAUAGCAGUAGCAGAAUUAGUGAAAGUACUAAAAGUCUUUGAAAUGCAGAAGUAAUGGCGUAAGCUGUCUCUUUCUCCGCCUCGGCUGCCAAACAGGGAAAGGUGCCCUGUCCAGUGGACACGUGACCCACAUGACCUUAGCUAUCAUUGGAGAUGGCUCACGCUCCUUACCCUGCCCCCUUGUCUUGUAUCCAAUAAAUAACAGCACAGCCAGGCAUUCGGGGCCACUACCGGUCUCCGCGUCUUGGCGGUAGUGGCCCCCCGGGCCCUGCUGUCUUUUCUUCUAUCUCUUUGUCUUGUGUCUUUAUUUCUAUGAUCUCUCGUCUCCGCACAUGGGGAGAAAAUCCCACAGACCCUGUAGGGCUAGACCCUACAGGCAUGGUGGCACAUGCCUAUAGUCUCAGCUACUUGGGAGGCUGACUUGGGAGAACCCAG
This 2655-nucleotide long non-coding RNA is filed under the name Homo sapiens (human). RNAcentral's name for it is "HSALNT0197899". The record is from RNAcentral. Lineage: Eukaryota; Metazoa; Chordata; Mammalia; Primates; Hominidae.